AAACAAAACAAACCCGAGGCAGCAUGGAGAGGGGCCGUGGCCCCUGCAGCGGAACCGGACCCAGUCCCUGAGCCGCCCCUACACCCACAGCAUCGCACAGAAUUAUUUAAAAAAAAAAAAAAAGCAGUGAUCCAAGCAAUUGAAUUGGAAGCACUCUGGGGAAACCUGCUGUUUAUUGUGAAAAUCAUCUUCGAUCUUGGAAUUGAAAGUAAAGCUGGAAAGGAAUUUACAAACGAGAAAAAAAAGAAGUUUGGAAUCGGAUUCACAGGAUCUGGGCUUGGAAAUGCCUCAGCCUAGUGUAAGCGGAAUGGAUCCGCCUUUCGGGGAUGCCUUUCGAAGCCACACCUUUUCGGAACAAACUCUGAUGAGCACAGAUCUCUUAGCAAACAGUUCGGAUCCAGAUUUCAUGUAUGAACUGGAUAGAGAGAUGAACUACCAACAGAAUCCUAGAGACAACUUUCUUUCUUUGGAGGACUGCAAAGACAUUGAAAAUCUGGAGUCUUUCACAGAUGUCCUGGAUAAUGAGGGUGCUUUAACCUCAAACUGGGAACAGUGGGAUACAUACUGUGAAGACCUAACGAAAUAUACCAAACUAACCAGCUGUGACAUCUGGGGAACAAAAGAAGUGGAUUACUUGGGUCUUGAUGACUUUUCUAGUCCUUACCAAGAUGAAGAGGUUAUAAGUAAAACUCCAACUUUAGCUCAACUUAAUAGUGAGGACUCACAGUCUGUUUCUGAUUCCCUUUAUUACCCCGAUUCACUUUUCAGUGUCAAACAAAAUCCCUUACCCUCUUCAUUCCCUGGUAAAAAGAUCACAAGCAGAGCAGCUGCUCCUGUGUGUUCUUCUAAGACUCUGCAGGCUGAGGUCCCUUUGUCAGACUGUGUCCAAAAAGCAAGUAAACCCACUUCAAGCACACAAAUCAUGGUGAAGACCAACAUGUAUCAUAAUGAAAAGGUGAACUUUCAUGUUGAAUGUAAAGACUAUGUAAAAAAGGCAAAGGUAAAGAUCAACCCAGUGCAACAGAGCCGGCCCUUGUUGAGCCAGAUUCACACAGAUGCAGCAAAGGAGAACACCUGCUACUGUGGUGCAGUGGCAAAGAGACAAGAGAAAAAAGGGAUGGAGGCUCUUCAAGGUCAUGCCACUCCUGCUUUGCCUUUUAAAGAAACCCAGGAACUAUUACUAAGUCCCCUGCCCCAGGAAGGUCCUGGGUCACUUGCAGCAGGAGAGAGCAGCAGUCUUUCUGCCAGUACAUCAGUCUCAGAUUCAUCCCAGAAAAAAGAAGAGCACAAUUAUUCUCUUUUCGUCUCCGACAACUUGGGUGAACAGCCAACCAAAUGCAGUCCUGAAGAAGAUGAGGAGGACGAGGAGGAUGUUGAUGAUGAGGACCAUGAUGAAGGAUUCGGCAGUGAGCAUGAACUGUCUGAAAAUGAGGAGGAGGAAGAAGAGGAAGAGGAUUAUGAAGAUGACAAGGAUGAUGAUAUUAGUGAUACUUUCUCUGAACCAGGCUAUGAAAAUGAUUCUGUAGAAGACCUGAAGGAGGUGACUUCAAUAUCUUCACGGAAGAGAGGUAAAAGAAGAUACUUCUGGGAGUAUAGUGAACAACUUACACCAUCACAGCAAGAGAGGAUGCUGAGACCAUCUGAGUGGAACCGAGAUACUUUGCCAAGUAAUAUGUAUCAGAAAAAUGGCUUACAUCAUGGUAAGAGGGGAUUGCAGUCAGAUAUUUAGUGUCACUUUAAUUAAGUUGAGCUACUAAUCCAUAAUGCUUACUCCGUGUACCUAGGCAUUCAACCCUUCCUAGCAAACUGGAGAUGGGGACUGUAGAGCUGCUACGUUUGCAUGACUACUCUUCAUCACUCACAAAUAGCUUUUACCAGUGUUGAGUCCUCACUUAAGCGGACAGGAAGGACUGUGUAAACAUUAUUUCAUUUCUAGUCCCUUCUUAAUCUACCUACCCCAUCCAGGAAAUGACCAGGAGGCUGCUGGUUUCUGACCUGUCACAGUUGGUAUAACCAGAAGGGUUGAGGAGAAAGUGAACGGGCUCUCUUGCAUUCUUGUCUAAUCCCCAGAUGUAAAUGGGGGGACUGGAAUUCAAAUGGUAAUGGGGAUAAAAGGGCAAGGAAAGAAAAGAAAGGGGAGGAUGGUUAUGGAGAAAAGGAGUAGUAGAGAAGAGUUGAAUACCUGUAGUAGGAAUCAGAAGUUUAUAAUCUUAGGUAGGUCAGGCCGUGUGCUGCAGCUCAUGCUUGUAAUCCUAGCACUUUGGGAGGCUGAGACGGGAGGAUCACUUGAGUCCAGGAGUUAGAGUCUGCAAUGAAUUGUGAUUAUGCCACUGCACUCCAUCCUGGGCGAUAGAGUGAGACCCUGUCUCUAAAAAAAUUUUAAAAAUGACAGUCUUAGAUAGGUCAUAUUUUUUAUUGUGAACUCAGGAAGCUGUGAUUAAGUAGAAUUUAUUCUACACAAAUGUUAUUUUUAAAUCCAUAGUUUCUAGUUCUGCUCUGAAUAAAAAAAAUUAAUACAAAGUCUUUACUGAAAAAAGUGGGGAGGGGAACUACUAGUAAGUGUGAUGGUCAGUAAACAGGUUAUUCACUCAUUGUACAGAUGUGAGUUGCUAAGGAUUUUUGGGGACAAGAAUUCAUCUGAUGUAUGUUUGUGCCUCAUUUUCCUUUUCCACUAGCAACCAGGUCUACUAUAUUGUCGCUCAGUAAAUAAUUACCAAGUUUUUGCCUUCAGAUAAGUUUUCUACUAGAAAUGAAACAUUAAGUCCAGUCAGUAAUCCCAAGUAGCACAUGAGUACUAGGAAAGUUGUAGGAGUUCAGAGGACAGAGCCAUCCUUUUUGCCUGGAGUGAUAGACCAAGACCCCUUGAAUCUUCUAUAAUGUUAUUUAUCAAAGCAACAAAAGAAGAGCUUUUAAACAAGGUUAUGCUUACUUGUUGGAUUUUCAAGUUCAAUACAAAAAUGUGUAUGUCUGACAAUUUUCAGACAUAGCAUCAGAAACAUCUUGGUUUGGGUAAAAUCUCCAAGCUCUCUUCUGACUAUAUAUUAUACCUUAGUCCUGAUUUUGGUGUUUAGUUGAACUCAUACUCAUCCUGAGAUUUGAGAUGCUUAGUAUGCCAUGCAAAUAAUGAAGAAUCUGUCAUGCUGGGACUAGAAGCCUAGGGUAGGGAAGAACUUGGAAAAAGUUAGAACUCUGCCAUAUCACCCCCAUUUCCUGCAGCCACAAGAUGGGAAGGAGAGGAGGCCAGCUCUUCUAGGACAGAUUGUUAAACAUGCCAAGACUUCUGAGAAGAAAAGGUAGUGGUGGGAAGUCGUUAAAAAUGUGGCCGUGAAAAAUGUGUCUCCUGUUAAUUAAAGUGAUCUAACUUAAACUUCUUUUAAAAUGUUCAUAGGAAAAUAUGCAGUAAAGAAGUCACGGAGAACUGAUGUAGAAGACCUGACUCCAAAUCCUAAAAAACUCCUCCAGAUAGGCAAUGAACUUCGGAAACUGAAUAAGGUGAUUAGUGACCUGACUCCAGUCAGUGAGCUUCCCUUAACAGCCCGACCAAGGUCAAGGAAGGAAAAAAAUAAGCUGGCUUCCAGAGCUUGUCGGUUAAAGAAGAAAGCCCAGUAUGAAGCUAAUAAAGUGAAAUUAUGGGGCCUCAACACAGAAUAUGAUAAUUUAUUGUUUGUAAUCAACUCCAUCAAGCAAGAGAUUGUAAACCGGGUACAGAAUCCAAGAGAUGAGAGAGGACCCAACAUGGGGCAGAAGCUUGAAAUCCUCAUUAAAGAUACUCUCGGUAAGAAGAAUAUGAGAUGAAUUCAUAACAAUUAAUAACAUGUAUAAGAUGUAUGAUUUAAGGGGAUAUUAAAAGUUCUUUUAGUUUAAGGAAAAACUCAAGUGCUCUCAUUGUAAUUACUCUCCUUUAUGAGUAAUUUUAUCUUUUGAGAUUUAGUGUUCAUAAACAUGUGCUGCAGGUGACCACAACUUGUAAUUUAGACUUAAUCAUGAAACUAUUUUAACAUUUAAGAAAAACAAACUUCUAGCAACUUUAACCUUUCAUGGAGGACAAAAGGUCCCAGAGCUGUCAAGCCUGCAGUUUGCACUUUAGUGUAGAGAUUCUUACUUGUUUUACUUAGUAAUGCAUUUCACAGGAUUCCCACAAACUUGGCUCUCUGGUUUCCCAUCCCUGAACAGAUUGCACAAUGUGGGGAGGAUCAGAGAGGCAGGGAUCUAGACGUCAGGCCAACUGAGAGCCAACAGGGAAGAGAGAGCUAGCUAGUAUAGACAUAGACAUGAGGACCAGCUCAGCUGCUGUAGGAGAAAGUCACUGACAGACAGUAGCAUCCAAGGCAUUCAAAUGUUUUUCUUGAACAAAAGUAUAUUUAUAUUGAAAACAAUCAGGUGAAGAGUAGACCCUAAACACCAGUAUUUUCCUCAGCAAUCACUUACCUCCUGCUUCUGUAUGGGUUAAUUCUGUGCUUGACUUUUUCUUCAAAUGGGUUGAUGCUAUUUUAAUUUUUUAUGUGUUCUUUCAUAGAAUUUCUUUCUUUUCUUUCCUUUUAUUUUUAAAAGCAUUUUUAUUCUUCCUUUAUUAGCUACAGGGGGAAAUUUAACAUUACAAGAAAAAGUUAUUUUUACCUUUUUAUUUUUUAAUGUAAACAUCUAUAUGUUUGGUAAGCUUAUGUACUACUCCUUUACACUUGAAAGUCAGUUUUACCAGGUAUAAAAUCCUCAACUCAUAUUUUCUUUCCUUGAGUAUCUUGAAUAUGAGUCUCCAUUUUCUUUUGGCAUAAAGUGUUGCUAUAGAAGAGCUAAUACUGGCUGGGCGUGGUGGCUCAUGCCUGUAAUCCCAACACUUCGGGAGGCCAAGGCAGGCGGAUCAUUUGAGGUCAGGAGUUCGAGACCAGCCUGGCCAACAUGGUAAUACCCCGUCUCUACUAAAAAUACAAAAAUUAGCUAGGCGUGGUGGCAGACACCUGUAAUCCCAGGUACUUGGGAGGCUGAGGCAGGGGAAUCGCUUGAAUGCAGGAGGGGUGGAGGUUGCAGUGAGUCAAGAUUACACCACUGCACUCUAGCCUGGGUGACAGAGCAAAACUCUGUCUCAAAAAAAAAAAAAAAAAAAAAGAAAAGAA
Molecule: small RNA, 5111 nt
Filed under: Pongo abelii (Sumatran orangutan)
Lineage: Eukaryota; Metazoa; Chordata; Mammalia; Primates; Hominidae
Description: retained intron
Source: RNAcentral